This 375-nucleotide ribosomal RNA is filed under the name uncultured Glomeromycotina. RNAcentral describes it as "LSU rRNA". Lineage: Eukaryota; Fungi; Glomeromycota. The record is from RNAcentral.
UUGAAAGGGAAACGAUUGAAGUCAGUCGUACCAGCGGGAAAUCAACCUUUCGAGUGGGGGUUUUGGAGUUUUGAAGAGUGUCAAAACCUUUGAGAUUUCAAAAUUUUCGCUCCUUUGGUGUACUUUCUCGUGGGUAGGUUAACAUCGAUUUCGAUCAUCAUAAAAGGAUUGGAGGAAUGUAGCUUCGAUCUUGUAUUGAAGUGUUAUAGCCUUUGGUAAAUGUGAUGAUUGGGAUCGAGGAUUGCAACGAAUACCCUUUUGGGCUAUCCGCCUGAUCUCUGAUACGUGGCCUUGGCAUCAAAAGCUUGCUUAUGGUAUCAAGGUAUUACGGUCAAAAGGUUAGAACGGAUUACAUUCGUUAAGGAUGUUGACGUA